GGCCUCAUGGCGCAACGGCAGCGCGUCUGACUCCAGAUCAGAAUGGUUGUGUGUUCAAGUCACACUGGGGUCA
RNAcentral lists this transfer RNA (73 nucleotides) under Cathartes aura (turkey vulture). It matches the Rfam family "tRNA". Rfam says of the family: Transfer RNA (tRNA) molecules are approximately 80 nucleotides in length. Their secondary structure includes four short double-helical elements and three loops (D, anti-codon, and T loops). The record is from Rfam by way of RNAcentral. Lineage: Eukaryota; Metazoa; Chordata; Aves; Accipitriformes; Cathartidae.